This is a long non-coding RNA of Xenopus laevis (African clawed frog), 1690 nucleotides long. RefSeq lists it as uncharacterized. The transcript is spliced from 2 exons. Lineage: Eukaryota; Metazoa; Chordata; Amphibia; Anura; Pipidae. The record is from RefSeq and is a predicted model, not a curated record.
CGAUCCGACCACCCAUAUUCCAUACAUUAUGAUCCAAUUGUCAGGCCCUAGGGCCCACUAUCGGAUCAGCCCAAUAUCGCCCACCUCAAUGUUGGCAUAUCGUUUGCCGAUGUGUAUGACCACCUAGAGUACUACGCCUUAUCAGUUGUUGAACCACAACUUUCCUGGGUAUAGUGCAACAGCUAGAGGGCUGUGAACUAAUUCUUUGCUGUUUUGUUUUGCAAUUUAGGUUUCCUAAAUAAAGCAUAAAUAUGAUGCACUUCUGAUAGCAUUUUCAGCUUCACUUUGGAGAGAGAAGCACAUAGAUAGGCACAUUAUAAAGACAUGUUUAUUGAAAAUCUCUACCAAAAAUAGUCUGGUCACAUAUAUUUUCCUUAACUUAAUAAUAUAAAAGAUGACAUUUCUUCCAAAACUAUAUUGUAUGUCACUUGUAGUUUCACCAAAUACCUUUUCUAGACUGGACAAAAUUAAGAUCGGGAAAUAGUCGCUCUUCCCUGCCAACAGUGGCUAGGGUUGCCACCCGGCCGGUAUUUUACCGGCCUAGCCGGUAAAAUACCUGCCGGGGGCCAGUAUUACAAAUUUACCGGCAAUGUAGCUGCCGGUAAAUUUAUAAUACGAUCAAAAGGAGCCCUCGGCCUGCCCCCAAACUUACCUUAUCUUGUUCCUCUUCUAGCGUCUGCGGGUCUCCGUUGUGUGGCCCCGCCCCUUUUGACAUCACGUCCGCCCCUUUUGAUGUCACACCCCGCCCAUUUGAGGCCCCGCCUCCCAGCAGCCGGUAAAGAUUUUUAUAAAAGGUGGCAACCCUAACAGUGGCUGUGGGUAAGUUGCCUGUGUAAAAGGGAGUCAUAUAAGUGAUGUAGGACAUUUACUGGGGUUUGGUAGGUGUUGGUAAGCUUUGGUUAGGAGAAGGUGUACAAAGGUGGAUAUGGGAGGUUGUUGGGGUAUUUACAUUGGGAAGGCUUCAGAGCUGGAAGGCUGGCAUUGUGGCACUUGCUCAUUUUGUCCCAGUGAUGUAAAGUUGAGAGGGUUGGCAAAUGAAGAAGGCAGUAUAGCAUGUUCCUAUGCCUUCUUCACUCCUCAGGUGCAUAUAUGUCUUUAUUCCGCCUUCUGUUAAGACAGUAAAAAAAAAAAAAUGUCACAACUUUGUGUUAAACUUUCAUUCUAUAACUUGGCCCAAGUGCCAUUUGAAAGAAAUAAUAAAAAUUGAAAGGCUCAUGUAGCCAAGUGCCUUUUUGUGCGUUGCAUUUACUAGAUUUCUUGCUAAUGGCACUUUGAAAUCCGUUGGUAACAUAUAUAAGACUUCUGGUUAAAUAAAAUUUGUUGCAAUGAUUUGGUUAUGAAGGAACUGUGCUGAAUAUAUUCAUGUAGGUGUAUCACCAAUCCUGUGCUAAGCUGUCACUAUACAUUUUAUGGAGCGUAAUGAACAAUAAGGCUGUGCCGUACGUUUUAUUUCCGUGUAUAUUUGUCUGUUUGGUCUUUUUUUUUGAUUUUUUAAAUGCAUAAUAACAAGGUAAAAUAUAAGUCAUAUGAUUUUGCAUGAAGGUUGAUAUAUAUACGUCAAAUGGAUAAAUGUCAUUGGAGGGUUUGUAAAAGGCUUACAUAGACAUUAACUUGGUAAGCGCAUUGAUUGUUGAAAUGCAUUGUUUACAUGGGGGGGGGUCUGUAUCUGGAAAAAAAUAAAUUUGAAGUU